UGGGGCCUCGUGUAACCAAUUCGCUUUUGCUCCUCAGUCAAAACGGACGCAGAAAAUCUGACGCCCCCUUCCAUGAGGAGUAGGCAGAUUCUGGAAGGAAACCCCAAAGGGGAGGAGAUCUCGGUCAGCUAGCAGGUUCCGCGCUCACCUGGUAAGACAGCCUUCUUAGGACUACAACCAAGGAAGACUAGAUACCCCUCCUCCUGUUGGGACGCACUUUCGGGAAACACUGCCACGGCUUCCGGAAUGGAGAGCGCACGUUCGCGCGCGGGGAGAGGCGUCACUUCCGCUCUGGCCCCCGACCUGCGCAGUUGGCCUUGUGAAGGCCGUGCCCGCGGGGUUAGCGCCAACGCUCGGCGUGCGAGGGUGAAGCCCAACGCUAGGGAGGGAAGUCCAGUCAGCUUAAGCCAUGGAAGGAAUGGAGGUCGGUGGGGGCAGAAGAACUGCAGAAGGCCUGUCUGGGGAAAGCACAGGAAUUUGGGAGGAACCUAUGGGCCACUCAGAAGUAUGAACAUUCAAGAUGUUUGGAGAAGAGCUUUCCCUCCGGGGCCAGGGCAGAGCCAGAGGAUCCGGAGCUCCCCGACGCUGUCUCACUUCAGGAACAGGGAGAAGCAGAAGCAGGAAGCAUUCUGCCCACUGAUGCUUUUUACUGCCCCCAACAGAGACCUUUGUCAGCUCUUUCUCCUUCAUGGCAAGGUGGUGUCAGUCCUGAGUUUAUUUCCUAGCAGCGGCUAA
Molecule: long non-coding RNA, 735 nt
Filed under: Fukomys damarensis (Damara mole-rat)
Lineage: Eukaryota; Metazoa; Chordata; Mammalia; Rodentia; Bathyergidae
Description: lncRNA (ENSFDAG00000028569.1)
Source: RNAcentral